AUUCAAAUCAGAUUUGAGUUAGGACUCCUAUACUUAUUAGGUCAUGGGAUUCAUCUAUAAAUAGAGAGAGUCUCUACCUGUGGAUGCAUAGCAAAUAGCAAACAAAUUAGACUGAGAGAAGAGAAAAAGAGAGAGAGAGGUGUGAGAAGAUAGAAGCCCUUCUUCUUCUCCUUAGCCUCUCUUCUUUGGUGCCGCCCAUCCUACCUUGGGCGUGGGCCCUCCUUGGGCAUCCCACCUGCUGGUGUGAGGUGUCAUACCAGUACAUUUCCUCCCUCAUUUGAUUGAGUUACAA
This 292-nucleotide long non-coding RNA is filed under the name Elaeis guineensis (African oil palm). RNAcentral describes it as "long non-coding RNA (EGUI_LNC007410)". The record is from RNAcentral. Lineage: Eukaryota; Viridiplantae; Streptophyta; Magnoliopsida; Arecales; Arecaceae.